RNAcentral lists this ribosomal RNA (468 nucleotides) under uncultured bacterium. RNAcentral describes it as "partial 16S ribosomal RNA". It matches the Rfam family "Bacterial small subunit ribosomal RNA", at positions 28 to 507 of the family's 1533-position model. The record is from RNAcentral.
GACGAACGCUGGCGGCGUGCUUAACACAUGCAAGUCGAACGGAAAGGCCCUGCUUUUGUGGGGUGCUCGAGUGGCGAACGGGUGAGUAACACGUGAGUAACCUGCCCUUGACUUUGGGAUAACUUCAGGAAACUGGGGCUAAUACCGGAUAGGAGCUCCUGCUGCAUGGUGGGGGUUGGAAAGUUUCGGCGGUUGGGGAUGGACUCGCGGCUUAUCAGCUUGUUGGUGGGGUAGUGGCUUACCAAGGCUUUGACGGGUAGCCGGCCUGAGAGGGCGACCGGCCACAAUGGGACUGAGAUACGGCCCAGAAUCCUACGGGAGGCAGCAGUGGGGAAUAUUGCACAAUGGGCGGAAGCCUGAUGCAGCAACGCCGCGUGCGGGAUGACGGCCUUCGGGUUGUAAACCGCUUUCGCCUGUGACGAGGCGUGAGUGACGGUAAUGGGUAAAGAAGCACCGGCUAACUACGUG